This 371-nucleotide long non-coding RNA is filed under the name Cricetulus griseus (Chinese hamster). RNAcentral's name for it is "lncRNA (ENSCGRG00000025626.1)". Lineage: Eukaryota; Metazoa; Chordata; Mammalia; Rodentia; Cricetidae. The record is from RNAcentral.
AAUAGAGGUCUUCAGAGGGUGGGGAGACAGUGGAGAAGGUGUGGGGGAGGGGCGCGGGCAGCAAGAGGGUGGGGAGAAAGAUUAGAGACCAAUUGGAGAGGGGAAGUUGGAAACAAACCCUGAUCAACUUAUUCUAAUUGCAUUUGACAGCUCAGGAGAAGUUAGGAGAGAGUUGUAGAUCUUUUCUCCCCCACCAGGCUGACAAGAGCCUCCAGGUCUGUUCCGAGCGCUUUCCUGACACCGGCUCCCGCUCCUCGGACUCACGGCGAAACACAGGCUUUCAUUGUGCUGCGAUAGGAGAGGGAGAGAAAGAGAGAGAGAGAGAGCCCGCAGCCCGCCCCCCUGACGAUAUGAUUUUCCGUUUUCAAUAA